AACAAGCAAGUGCGUAUAUGGUUGGCCUAUCUCAGAGCGCUCCACGAUACAUCCCUGGCGCGAGCAGGCUACGCAAGAAAAUAAAGAAACGGGUAAAAGAAAAAAGAAAAACGCAACCUCCUCCUCAAUAGGUCACGCACGCAACCGCCUCCUACCCAGCAGUUCCCCCAAAUCUCGUUCCGAAUAGGCAGGGCGCAGGUGGCGGCGAUGGGGGUCGAAGCCUCGGAGGAGAAGGGAGAUGCUGGCGGUGGAGGUCAAAGGAGAAGGGAUCUGGGCGGCGCUCGCGAACGGAGGUUGGGGCAGGCACUGGUCGAGGUCGGAAAGAUGGGAGAUGGGGGAAGGCAGUGGUUGAGGUCGUAGAUGGGUGGAUGUGGGGGCAUGCAGCGGUGGAGGUCGGAGGAGAUAUGAGGAGGGUGGCGCGGGAUCGAGGAAGCUGUGGAGGAGGGCGGCAACAACGACGAGGAGGUGGGAAGAGAGCGGCGACGGCGGAGGUGAGUGGAGUAGACGAGUGGGAAAAAUUUCUGCGGCUCCACCACUUUCUUUCCCCCGUUCAUCACAGCGAGCAGAGGCGAUGACUACAAGAUUGGUCCGUCCUUUCACCUGCCAUCGAUCUACCAUAAUUUCUCAAGAAUUUAAGUGGAUGGUUUAUGGGGUUAUGCAGUCAAUUGAAUCUUAGUAGAGCGAGCAGGCUAAGUUGCUUGACUUUGGAAGGAUAGUGAGAGCACCUUCCAGUCAUCACAUGGAAACAUGGUUGGGCACUUUGACUCAAUAGCCAUGACAAUGGAUGUGCAGCUUCAAGGCAUGAUAUCUUUGUUUGCCCUCCAUGUGCUUACUGUUUUUUCCUUCCGGCUGUUUGUUUAAGGUUCAGAAAUGAAGGAUGACAUGUUCUUUUAAAUCUUAGGCUAAGGACAUGAUCAUAAUGACAAAGAAGUCAUGAAAUUCAUUUAUUUCAGCGGUAAGAGAAGGAUUCACGUGAGGAGACAAAUAGUGGGUGUCGAGACCAGCAACCUUGCUGUCUCCACACCAUCUCCAGGGUGCGCACCCACAACUCACCUUGGAUUAUUAAGGCGAGUUUCCCUCUCUGAUGCAUUUCCACUUUAUGCUUUAUGUUAUUUCAUAAUGAAUUUUGGGUUCAUGCUUACGUUAUAGCAAUGGCACACCAUUUUAUCAUGCAAAUGAACAGGUUAUACUAUCCUAUAGUAUUACUGCCCCGUGAUGAUUAAUUACGAGAACAACGAUAAAUAUGAUGCACCUGUUUUUUCUAAUAAUGAUGGCUGUAUAUAGUUUCAUGUUUUUUUUUGAAAGGAAUACGGUAGGGGAAGCUCCUACAGUGUUUUUUUUAAUAAUAAGAACCCAAUUCCGCGUCAGUGGAGACUUGAACCUGGGUGGCUGGGUUGUACAUCCACUUCCCUAACCAAAUGAGCUAGGCUCACUUCUUUUUCAUGUUUUUUCUUGCUAUGGUAAAUUCUGGGCUGUGAUUUCUUUGUCGCAUGAAGACAUUAGAAAAUUCUGAAGCGCCUUUCCCUUUUGUCUUUGCAAUAGUUUGUUGGACGCUCAUGAGCGACAAUGCUAGCGAGGCUGCUCAAGGAACAUAUUUGGUUGCUACGAUUCAUAAAAUUUGAUGGGUAUAUUAGGUUACACUUAGAUUUGGAUGUACUAAUUUAUCUUUUUUUGUUUAUCUUUAUUUACACUGGCUCAUACAACUUUAUGGAUAUGAAACUAUUUACUCUUGUGUUACCUGAUCUGAAAAUCUUCCCUUGAUAUGCGGGUUUACUACUAUUUUACAUUCUGGGUUCAUUCUGAUCCAACCUAACUGACCAAAUGGAUUUGACGUGUUAUUCAUGUCAGGUUAGUGUGUGUCUUCAUUUGUGGCAAACCACAAAUAACCGAAUUGUAUAAAUAGAGUCCUACCUGAUAGCCUUAUUUCUCAUGUCGCUCAAGCUGCUGUUAUUUUAUUUUGGCUGCAGUAAAGUGUUCGUAAUUUCCCCCACUAUUAUUUUUUUGCAUUAUCUACUAAUAAAUUUUCUUGUAGGAUAUUAUUAAAAAUAAUCAAUUUACAAAUUGAUUAGUGGUUUACUGCAAGGCAAUAAUCCCUAAACUGAAAUCACCUUGGCUGCAAAGUUUAAUAACUUUUCUUGUUAUCUUCUUCACUAACAGGUGCUAUAGGAGAUAAGGAGUUUCUUAUUUACUAUUCUGGCAUUCUGAGAAGUUGUUCCAUGGGAAGAAGGAGCUCCAGUUUCAUGAUGCAUACGAAGAGAUUAUCCACCAGGUAUAUUUCACUUGCGCGAGGAGCUCCAUUUGAUGAAACAGGUUAAGGCAUCAUCCACCAUGUAUAUUUUGCUUCUGCAUAAGCUUCAACCAGUUUUAUCUACAAUUGUCUUUAUUUUUGUCUCCAAUAUAUCUUAUUUGCUGGCUACGAAGUACCAGUUGAUAUAUCACUUGUAUUACUUUCCGGAUUGUCCGGCUGCCAAAUCCACAUUUCUCGCUCUACGGACAUGCCAAGGCAUCAUCCGCCAUGUAUAUUUUGCUUCUGCAUAAGCUUCCAUCAGUUUAAUCUACAUUGGUCUUCAUUUUCUCACAAGAUAUUUUUCUCCCAACGUACACAUUUCCUCUCCAAUUUAGUUUAUCUGUUGGUUACGAAGUACCAGCUGAUAUAUCACUUGUAUUAUUACUUUCCAGAUCAUCUGACAGGCUGCCAAAUCUACGCUUUUUUUUUUCUCUAGGGCGUCUGUUCAGCCACAAUGGACUUUGAUUGUUGAAUACUCAAAAACUUCUUGCAUUCAUCAGAGCCAGCUCCAAAAAAGAGAGGUAAUCACACAUAUCAUACCUUGUCGAUAUCAUUAUUUUAUGAAAACACAUGAAAGUUAGUGGCAUGGUUAUUGAGUUGCUGUAUAGUCGCGGUAUAGUCGCUGUAUAGUCACCGAGUCGUUUUCCAAAAAUGGUGGCGACUCGCGACUAUACAUGUUUUUUGGUCGAUUAUACAUGAGUCGCAGGGUUUGGCGACUCACUUUUGAGUCGCGACUCAAAAACCAUGGUUAGUGGUAAUGCUUGAUGUGUGAGUGCAUUUCCUAAUACUUUUCAUUGAAUUAAUCAUUCUUUGAUGUGCUUUAUGCUAUUUGGUUGUUCUUUCUCCAAACAAAAUAGAUAAAAAAUGUCUAUCUUGGAGGCACAGAGUUAUUUGAGAAUGUCUUUUUGGGAGCACCUAUUUGGUGAAAAAGGUUUGUGGUUUGUUUCUCCACUCUUAUAUACAGUUUAAUUCAUCCUCCAAAUAAUUCGUCAUGGCUCAUUUGUACACACUACCAUACUACUUUUAGUUUCUGAAAAAAUACUCUCUUGUUGUUUAAAUGCUUUAGUGAUCAUCUUAAUAUCAAUUACUGCUGAUAAGCUGCUGUGCAAAUAAUCAAUAACUUCACCUGUUAUGGUAAGUUCGCUGGUCCCAGAUAUUCCUAAAAUGCUAAAUCAUUUGUUUGGUUGAUGUAGAUUUUAGUUUUUGUUUAUUGUCCGUAUUGAUAAUAGUAAUAGAAUUGUUGAACUUUCUUCCAAAACUAAAUUAUUAUCUCUUCUGAAGUUCAAGGUUUACCGACGAUGUCUCUUUUUGAAGUUACACCCGUGCAUCUGGAGGUCUGCUCUUUCAGUAUAAUUGCUCAAGCUCUUCGCCAAGCAUGUCUUGCUUUUGUAGCUAUUUUCAAUUUAUGUUGCAAAAUGCUGCAAAAUGUAAACAUGUACAUAUUCUUUUGUAAUACGUUCUGGUUGCUUCGCGCUCCAUAAUUUCAUGAUAUGUCUGUUCCA
Molecule: non-coding RNA, 3789 nt
Organism: Lolium perenne
Lineage: Eukaryota; Viridiplantae; Streptophyta; Magnoliopsida; Poales; Poaceae
Source: RefSeq, a predicted model, not a curated record